CCUGUGUAAGUCAGAGAUAAGAAGUCAACAUUGUUACACGACUUUUUAACUUUUCUUUAACGAUAAGAAGCAAUACACACACACACAUAUGUAUAAACACACAUUUAUAAAGAGAGAGAGAGAGAGAGAAAGGAUAUAAUGGGCGAUGUGAAUGCUUAUAUCACGGACAAGGUCCAGUGGCUGAUUCGGACAGUAUGGCGAUCUAUUUCAUGUUAGAUUCCAAAUUGUUUUGCAAGAACUGGAGUAGCUCAAAAAAAUUGUUUCGCUGGUACUGACCACUGACCAGUAUCUAAAUUCAAUUACAUGUAAGAGUGUCAAAUGACUUACCCCUACCAAACCCUCUGGCUACUCUCACUUUAAAUUCACUUGGUGUAUACACCUUGAGGGAGCUGGUUGGUGGCCCAUGCCCAAAACAAGACCACAGGCAGAAACUAUAUGAGAUAUCCUGGACUUAAUACAUGAAACAUCAAUAGCACCCGAUGGGGUGUAAUCAUACCAUUAUGCUGGCUCUGGAAGGGGUCGGGGGUAGAAGUAAUUUUUUAAAAGACAGAAUGAAGAGUGAACUUUUAGUGCUACACAAUAGUCCUGUGUUCAUCCGUUAUAAAGGUCCUGAAGGUGUGACGUCCUGAAGGACUCGUGUGACGUUUUGAAGGACUCAAUGUGACGUCCUGCAGGACUCAGUGUGACAUCCUGAAGAGCUGAGUGUGACGUCUGUACUUUUCUUGAUCUUUCUUUUAUCUCUUUAUUUUAAAUUGUUCCUUUUGACACUAUUCCAAAAAUAGAUUUAACCAAAGUAAGAACACAACAAUGUAUGGCCAUAGUCACAUGUUCAGAUGAUCUUCACUUGUUCAAAUUAUGCUCACAUUUUCAGAUAUUAAUUGUUCAGAUGAUGUUCACCUGUCACAGAGGACAUUCCAUUGCUUCCUGUUCAAAUAAUGUUUACAUGUCCAGUAACAUUUUUAGUUUAGAUCAUUUUGACAUGUCCAGAUGAUGUAUACGUGUUCACAUGAUGUUCACAUUUCCAGAUGAUACUCACCUGUUUAUAGAUUUAUUUGUUCAGGUGAUGUCCAGCUGUUACAGAUGAAAAUUAUUUGUUCCAAUGAUGUCAAUAUGUUACAUAGGAUGUUCGAUUAUUCAGAUGUUCACAUGGUCAGAGGAUUCUUCCAGAUAACGUUCCCUUGUUCAGAUGAUAUUCAUCAGCAGAAAUGAUGUUCACUUGUUCAGGCAUGGUCAAGUCUGAUCAUAACUAAUUAUGAAGAUGUUUAAAAACGUUCAUAUAUUCUAAUGAUAUUCACAUGAACAGAUGAUGUUCACUUGUUAAAAUAAUGUACACAUAUUUACAAAUGAGUAAAAAGUAAACAGUAAAGUUUCCCCUUUCAGACCAUGGGAAAGGCUUUGGGAGUCAACCCUGAGGAAAAAUCAGGAGCUGGUGACCCUAAGGCAGUUUGCAGCACCCAGUGCUACACUCUGGCAGAACCUGCGACGUCGCUGACUCCAAACUGUAUCGACACUGCCGUUCCUCUGGAUACAUCAGCUGCGUGGAGUGGGGGGAACUGAUGUGUGAACGACAUCGUUCCGACCACAGCUAAUGCCCAGACAUUCAUCUCAUUUCCAAUGAGAUGAUCCAUAGUCACUUCGCGACUGAAGGAGGCCAUAGAGAUAUACUUGUUCACAUUAUCCAGAUGAAAUUUCCUUGUUCAGAAGAUGUACAAAUGUUUUGAUGAAGUUCAUAUGCUUAGGAGAUAUUCGCUUGUUUAGAUGAUGUGCAUAUUUAGAGAUGAUGUUCGCGUGUUCACAUGCCAUCCAUAAGUACAGAUGAUGUCUACUUAUUUGGAUAAUGUUGGCUUGUAGCAGAUGCUAUUCCAAUGUUAAAGUACCCAACGAUUAUCUUAUAAAUGUCUGAUCAGUUUAAGGAUCAUCAGAAAUCAGGUGCCUUCACCGGGACAAGAACCCGAAAUCAUCAGAUCCGCAGCUGAACCAUUAUCCACGCUACCACCCAGUAGUAAAAUAUAAACGUAUAAAGCAUCUUGGCCCAUAUAGCUAGUGUGACUAAUCAAAAUGUCGAAUCCUUUUGUUAGCUCGUUUAAAUCAGUCCACUCAGCAUUAACCUGGAUCUCGUAGAUACUACAAAUCUAGUAGACCUUUACUCUUUCUGAGAGUCUUUCACCGUAACUCAUAAACUUGAUUUCAAUCUAGAUAAAUCUCUUUUUAUUUAGUUUUACAAAAUGUAAGUAAAUGGUAACGAAGAUAAGAAGACAUAACUUCGCCUAUCCAUUUCAAACUAGUUUAAGGUGACAGGGAAGAAGAUAGGGUUUAAACUCGAGGCCUCUUAACGGCAGUUCGAAACACCUACCAAAUGACCAGCAGCCCUUCCAUUUAAAAAGAAAUUCAAAGAAACUAGAACUAAACGUAUAGCCAUUGUCUAGUGUUUAGAUCUAGUUAUAAGAUUUGUUCCUUUUUUUGUUCCUUCGGACCAUUGUGCGGUUAUAGUAACAACAAGGUUACAAAGACAGUUUGUGUGGAAACACAACUCAAAAUCGGCCCCCGAAGUGGUCCACCUAGACUGUCCUAUUCCAAGUGCUUUACCCCUCAGCCACAGCAUCUCCAUAUAGGCCUAUUCAUUUAGCGUAGACUUAUAUUUUUCAAAAUAAUAAUUAUUAACAUUUUCAAUGCAUUCAAAAUUAAUAACGUUACAUGUAACAAACAAGAAACUAAAAAAGAUGUAUUCUUUACAUAAAACAUAAAUCUGCACCCCUAAGUCAGAAGAUAAAUUAUUGCCUUAAUAAUUAAAAUUUUGUUCAAAUUAUCAAUAUAUGAAUAAUAUAUAUAUAUUUUUAAAAUAAAUCUAGAUUUGGGCUCUAUUUAGUCAUAUUUAGACUUUCAAGUGUAGGCUCCUAUUAUGAGGAUAUAUCAAAAGUGCACGCUAUUUGUUAUUUUUGAAACUUAUAACCUUUAAAAACAACAUUUGAAUCAGUAUUCUAUUCAACGAGUUAGUUAAUAAAUGGAAAAUAUAUUUUAUAAUGAUCCAUUGACACUUUUACCAAUGUGACCUUAGAUGCAAAUUUUUUUUUUACCAAUUCGCGAAUCUAUGAAUGAAGCUUGAGUUAUUAAUGAAAAAGUCCAUGACCUUUUUUAAAAAAAAGGUUACCUCCCCUGAAGUUUUUCAUUGAAAAGUGGUGUAAUUUUUUUAAAAAUCUGCUUGCAUAUAUAAUUUAAAAAAUUAGAUGGUUCACUUUCGGAAAGUAAAAGGGUAGCGUUGCAUCAGAACUUUGAAUGAUUUAAAAUAUCAUGAUAUCCUAUUUUCAUUUUCUUUUCUAGUUUCUGAGAUCUAAGCGUGGCACACGGACAGACAGGCCACGCAAAACUAAUAGCUUCUUUUUCCUUUUUGAAGACAGUAAUAAAAAAAAUUUGAUGCCUAUUUCUCUUAUUUCCAUCAAUCAAUGAAAUAAAACGGGUAUGUAGUUUCUUCUGUUGGACAAAAACGCAAAGUGCUCCUUUCUCCAUAGUGUCAUUAGAGUAAGAGCAUAAAGCGGAUUGCCUGAAUUAACCAGGAAAACCAAUGACUUUUUUAGAAGCAGACUUUGUCUCUAAUUAACACAUGGAUACGAGAAGAACGUAAUAACAUUCAGACUCAUUCAGUUUUGGAGAGAGUCUGUAAUUUCUAAGAUAAGACACUGUGAAGCAACAUGAUAUGACAAUAAACAUUUUAUAAGCUAAUAUUGAUUGUUACGUAAGGGGGAAAGCCGCUAUUAGGUUUGUGCAAAAAUGUCCGUCUGUCACACUAAGAUCUCGAAAACUAGAAUAGAAAUGAAAAAUAUUUUUUCACCAUGCAAUGCAGCUUGAAAAGUUUAAGUGCAAGGGCUACUUUUGGUUUUCUAAAAGCAAACCGUUUAAUUUAUAAAAUUAAUUAUGCAAGCGAUUUUUUCAUUGAAAUACACCAGCGACUUUCGUACAGUAGCGUAACAGGUAGCGGCAAAACAUAGUACCACUCAGUUUCCUCAAAAUUUUUUAAAUAAUUAGAUUUUAUUUUUUUUUUUUGUUUAGUGCCCACAUCAGGAUAAAAGACUCUUAUUUUUGUGCGUUUUGUUUGCCGGUCGGUCUGUCUGUCACGUUUAGAUAACAAAAACAACAAUUUAAAAAGCCAUUGAAAAUCUUAUUUAACCUUUUAUGUUCCUUCCGAAACAUCUCAAAAGUUUUAGGUACAUAUAAUAGAUUGUUCCGGAUGUUUUUGUGAAAAAAAAAUCAAUGCCAACCAAUGUUUGUUUGCUCUUAUAACUUACAUUAUAUUUAAUUUCCAUACUUAAACGUUGCAAAAACAUAUGAUCAAUAAAAUGUUGUUCCGGUUUUUUUAAUGUAAAUAGCAUAUUAAUGCUAAAUGAAAAUCUCUAUAGUGACUUAUUUUUCAUUAACUAUAAAGUUGUUCCGGAUAUUGUUUUAUAAAAAAUAAAUUAUGUCAAAUGAUUUUUUGAAAUCGCAUAAUUGACUAAUAUUACACUUAUAUUCUUUGACAAUACGUCACUAUAGUUUAAUUAUCGAUAUCAAAUUGUUCCGUAUUUUCAACUUUAAACACAUUUAUGUCAAAUGACUUUAUUUUUUCAAAAAUAUUGACAAUAGGUUGUUCUGGAUUUUAAAAUAAGAAAGUAAUUUAGUAGAAGCGAUUAUUGAAAAUCACUUUUUUGACUUAUUUAAUAGUUAAUUUUCUUGCUGAAACAUAACAAAAGUUGUUUAAUCGGUAAAGAAUGUUCCGGAUUUUGUUUUGAAAAAGAAAUCAACCUACAUUACUUUACUUUAAUUUUCUUACAAAUAGUCGCCAAAAAUGUUCCGAAUUUUAUAUGAAAAAUCAACUAACGACAAAAUAACUGUUUGAAAUCCCUCUUGUAAUAAAUUAACAUUUACGAAAAAUGGUUG
Long non-coding RNA from Biomphalaria glabrata, 4908 nucleotides. RefSeq lists it as uncharacterized. The transcript is spliced from 3 exons. The record is from RefSeq and is a predicted model, not a curated record. NCBI's taxonomy places the organism in Eukaryota, Metazoa, Mollusca, Gastropoda, Planorbidae.